RNAcentral lists this ribosomal RNA (253 nucleotides) under uncultured bacterium. RNAcentral's name for it is "partial 16S ribosomal RNA". It matches the Rfam family "Bacterial small subunit ribosomal RNA", at positions 524 to 776 of the family's 1533-position model. The record is from RNAcentral.
UACGGAGGGUGCGAGCGUUGUCCGGAAUCACUGGGCGUAAAGGGCGCGUAGGCGGCCCGGCCAGUCAACGGUGAAAGCUUGGGGCUCAACCCCGAGUCGGCCGUCGAUACUGCUGGGCUGGAGCACUGUAGAGGCAGGUGGAAUUCCGGGUGUAGCGGUGGAAUGCGUAGAGAUCCGGAAGAACACCGGUGGCGAAGGCGGCCUGCUGGGCAGUAGCUGACGCUGAUGCGCGACAGCGUGGGGAGCAAACAGG